CCCUUAGAUGUUCUGGGCCGCACGCGCGCUACACUGAUGCAUUCAACGAGCCUAUCCUUGACCGACAGGUCCGGGUAAUCUUUGAAUCUGCAUCGUGACGGGGAUAGAUUAUUGCAAUUAUUAAUCUUCAACGAGGAAUGCCUAGUAGGCGCAAGUCAUCAGCUUGCGUCGAUUAUGUCCCUGCCCUUUGUACACACCGCCCGUCGCUCCUACUGAUUGGGUGAUCCGGUGAGCUGUUCGGCCAUAGCAAUGUUUCUUGAGCAGGGCAAUGAAUGUUUCGCAAACCUUGCCACUUAGAGGAAGGAGAAGUCGUAACA
Molecule: ribosomal RNA, 317 nt
Filed under: uncultured eukaryote
Lineage: Eukaryota
Description: partial 18S ribosomal RNA
Rfam family: Eukaryotic small subunit ribosomal RNA
Source: RNAcentral